GUGGGGAAUAUUGGACAAUGGGCGAAAGCCUGAUCCAGCCAUGCCGCGUGUGUGAAGAAGGUCUUCGGAUUGUAAAGCACUUUAAGUUGGGAGGAAGGGCAGUAAGUUAAUACCUUGCUGUUUUGAUGUUACCGACAGAAUAAGCACCGGCUAACUUCGUGCCAGCAGCCGCGGUAAUACGAAGGGUGCAAGCGUUAAUCGGAAUUACUGGGCGUAAAGCGCGCGUAGGUGGUUUUGUAAGUUGGAGGUGAAAUCCCCGGGCUCAACCUGGGAACUGCCUCCAAAACUGCAUGACUAGAGUACGGUAGAGGGUAGUGGAAUUUCCUGUGUAGCGGUGAAAUGCGUAGAUAUAGGAAGGAACACCAGUGGCGAAGGCGACUACCUGGACUGAUACUGACACUGAGGUGCGAAAGCGUGGGGAGCAAACAGGAUUAGAUACCCGUGUAGUCC
RNAcentral lists this ribosomal RNA (450 nucleotides) under uncultured bacterium. RNAcentral's name for it is "bacterial SSU rRNA". It matches the Rfam family "Bacterial small subunit ribosomal RNA", at positions 354 to 796 of the family's 1533-position model. The record is from RNAcentral.